This 465-nucleotide ribosomal RNA is filed under the name uncultured bacterium. RNAcentral's name for it is "partial 16S ribosomal RNA". It matches the Rfam family "Bacterial small subunit ribosomal RNA", at positions 29 to 507 of the family's 1533-position model. The record is from RNAcentral.
ACGAACGCUGGCGGCGUGCUUAACACAUGCAAGUCGAACGGAAAGGCCCUGCUUGCAGGGUACUCGAGUGGCGAACGGGUGAGUAACACGUGGGUGAUCUGCCCUGCACUUCGGGAUAAGCUUGGGAAACUGGGUCUAAUACCGGAUAGGAACCAUCUUUAGUGUGGUGGUUGGAAAGUUUUUUCGGUGUAGGAUGAGCUCGCGGCCUAUCAGCUUGUUGGUGGGGUAAUGGCCUACCAAGGCGGCGACGGGUAGCCGGCCUGAGAGGGUGUACGGCCACAUUGGGAACGAGAUACGGACCAGACUCCUACGGGAGGCAGCAGUGGGGAAUAUUGCACAAUGGGCGCAAGCCUGAUGCAGCGACGCCGCGUGGGGGAUGAAGGCCUUCGGGUUGUAAACUCCUUUCGCUAGGGACGAAGCUUUGUUGUGACGGUACCUAGAUAAGAAGCACCGGCUAACUACGUG